AACGUAGGUGGCAAACGUUAUCCGGAUUUACUGGGCGUAAAGAGUGCGUAGGUGGUUAUUUAAGUCAGAUGUAAAAUCUCCUGGCUCAACUGGGAGGGACCAUCUGAUACUGGAUAGCUGGAGUACAGCAGAGGAAAGUGGAAUUCCCGGUGUAGUGGUGGAAUGCGUAGAUAUCGGGAGGAACACCAGUGGCGAAAGCGGCUUUCUGGGCUGUUACUGACACUGUUGCACAAAAGCGUGGGGAGCAAACAGGAUUAGAUACCCUGGUAGUCCACGCUGUAAACUAUGAACACUGGGUACAGGGAGUAUCGACCCUCUCUAUGCCGAAGCUAACGCGUUAAGUGUUCCGUCUGGGGACUACGGCCGCAAGGUUA
RNAcentral lists this ribosomal RNA (374 nucleotides) under uncultured prokaryote. Its description in RNAcentral is "bacterial SSU rRNA". It matches the Rfam family "Bacterial small subunit ribosomal RNA", at positions 524 to 896 of the family's 1533-position model. The record is from RNAcentral.